GACGAACGCUGGCGGCGUGCUUAACACAUGCAAGUCGAACGGAAAGGCCCUGCUUUUGUGGGGUGCUCGAGUGGCGAACGGGUGAGUAACACGUGAGUAACCUGCCCUUGACUUUGGGAUAACUUCAGGAAACUGGGGCUAAUACCGGAUAGGAGCUCCUGCUGCAUGGUGGGGGUUGGAAAGUUUCGGCGGUUGGGGAUGGACUCGCGGCUUAUCAGCUUGUUGGUGGGGUAGUGGCUUACCAAGGCUUUGACGGGUAGCCGGCCUGAGAGGGUGACCGGGCACAUUGGGACUGAGAUGCGGCCGGGACGGCUACGGGAGGCAGCAGUGGGGAAUAUUGCACAAUGGGCGGAAGCUUGAUGCAGCAACGCCGCGGGCGGGAUGAGGGCGUGCGGGUUGUAAACAGCUUUCGCCUGUGACGAAGCGUGAGUGACGGUAAUGGGUAAAGAAGCACCGGCUAACUACGUG
Molecule: ribosomal RNA, 468 nt
Filed under: uncultured bacterium
Lineage: Bacteria
Description: partial 16S ribosomal RNA
Rfam family: Bacterial small subunit ribosomal RNA
Source: RNAcentral